RNAcentral lists this ribosomal RNA (260 nucleotides) under uncultured bacterium. RNAcentral describes it as "partial 16S ribosomal RNA". It matches the Rfam family "Bacterial small subunit ribosomal RNA", at positions 524 to 777 of the family's 1533-position model. The record is from RNAcentral.
UACGUAGGGUGCAAGCGUUAAUCGGAAUUACUGGGCGUAAAGCGUGCGCAGGCGGUUAUGCAAGACAGAGGUGAAAAUCCCCCGGGCUCAACCUGGGAACUGCAUUUGUGACUGUAGAGCUGGAGUGCGGCAGAGGGGGGAUGGAAUUCCGCGUGUAGCAGUGAAAAUGCGUAGAUAUCAGGAGGAACACCCAUGGCGAAGGCAGCAAAACUGGGCCACAUCUGACGCUGGAGGCGCGAAAGCGUGGGUAGCAAACAGGA